This 363-nucleotide ribosomal RNA is filed under the name uncultured rumen bacterium. Its description in RNAcentral is "bacterial SSU rRNA". It matches the Rfam family "Bacterial small subunit ribosomal RNA", at positions 19 to 363 of the family's 1533-position model. The record is from RNAcentral.
UUGGCUCAGGAUGAACGCUGGCGGCGUGCCUAACACAUGCAAGUCGAACGGAACUGCUUUGAAUGAAUUCUUCGGAAGGAAUUUGAUUCAGUUUAGUGGCGGACGGGUGAGUAACGCGUGAGUAACCUGCCUUCAAGAGGGGGAUAACAUUCUGAAAAGAAUGCUAAUACCGCAUAAUAUAUAACUGUCGCAUGGCAGAAAUAUCAAAGAUUUAUCGCUUGAAGAUGGACUCGCGUCCGAUUAGUUAGUUGGUGAGGUAACGGCUCACCAAGACCGCGAUCGGUAGCCGGACUGAGAGGUUGAACGGCCACAUUGGGACUGAGACACGGCCCAGACUCCUACGGGAGGCAGCAGUGGGGAAUA